RNAcentral lists this ribosomal RNA (643 nucleotides) under uncultured Bacteroides sp. RNAcentral's name for it is "bacterial SSU rRNA". It matches the Rfam family "Bacterial small subunit ribosomal RNA", at positions 76 to 715 of the family's 1533-position model. The record is from RNAcentral. Lineage: Bacteria; Pseudomonadati; Bacteroidota; Bacteroidia; Bacteroidales; Bacteroidaceae.
GAGCUUGCUUCAAUUGCCGGCGACCGGCGCACGGGUGAGUAACGCGUAUCCCCUUUCGGUAGGUCAAGGAUAGCCUUUCGAAAGAAAGAUUCAUACCUGAUGGUAUGAUGAGAUUGCAUGAUAGCAUCAUUAAAGAUUUAUCGGUGUACGAUGGGGAUGCGUUCCAUUAGGUAGUAGGCGGGGUAACGGCCCACCUAGCCUACGAUGGAUAGGGGUUCUGAGAGGAAGGUCCCCCACAUUGGAACUGAGACACGGUCCAAACUCCUACGGGAGGCAGCAGUGAGGAAUAUUGGUCAAUGGACGAGAGUCUGAACCAGCCAAGUAGCGUGAAGGAUGAAGGUCCUACGGAUUGUAAACUUCUUUUAUAAGGGAAUAAAACCUCCCACGUGUGGGAGCUUGUAUGUACCUUAUGAAUAAGCAUCGGCUAACUCCGUGCCAGCAGCCGCGGUAAUACGGAGGAUGCGAGCGUUAUCCGGAUUUAUUGGGUUUAAAGGGAGCGCAGACGGGUCGUUAAGUCAGCUGUGAAAGUUUGGGGCUCAACCUUAAAAUUGCAGUUGAUACUGGCGUCCUUGAGUGCGGUUGAGGUGUGCGGAAUUCGUGGUGUAGCGGUGAAAUGCUUAGAUAUCACGAAGAACUCCGAUUG